GCUCCAAUAGCGUAUAUUAAAGUUGUUGCAGUUAAAAGGCUCGUAGUCGAACUUCUGCCUUGGCAGCCUGGCCGCCGCUUCGGUGGCGCGUGACGGGCUGUCGGGUCAUCCUUCUGGAGAGCUCCUCUGCCUUGACUGGGUUGGGGGAAGGAUCCAGAUCCUUUACUGUGAGAAAAACAGAGUGUUCAAAGCAGGCUUUA
RNAcentral lists this ribosomal RNA (200 nucleotides) under uncultured eukaryote. RNAcentral describes it as "partial 18S ribosomal RNA". It matches the Rfam family "Eukaryotic small subunit ribosomal RNA", at positions 588 to 789 of the family's 1831-position model. The record is from RNAcentral.